UUGGUAUGGUCCAGCAGCCGCGGUAAAACGUAGGUCACAAGCGUUGUCCGGAAUUACUGGGUGUAAAGGGAGCGCAGGCGGGAAGACAAGUUGGAAGUGAAAUCUAUGGGCUCAACCCAUAAACUGCUUUCAAAACUGUUUUUCUUGAGUAGUGCAGAGGUAGGCGGAAUUCCCGGUGUAGCGGUGGAAUGCGUAGAUAUCGGGAGGAACACCAGUGGCGAAGGCGGCCUACUGGGCACCAACUGACGCUGAGGCUCGAAAGUGUGGGUAGCAAACAGG
Molecule: ribosomal RNA, 279 nt
Filed under: Faecalibacterium prausnitzii
Lineage: Bacteria; Bacillati; Bacillota; Clostridia; Eubacteriales; Oscillospiraceae
Description: partial 16S ribosomal RNA
Rfam family: Bacterial small subunit ribosomal RNA
Source: RNAcentral